Molecule: ribosomal RNA, 497 nt
Filed under: uncultured bacterium
Lineage: Bacteria
Description: partial 16S ribosomal RNA
Rfam family: Bacterial small subunit ribosomal RNA
Source: RNAcentral
GAUGAACGCUGGCGGCGUGCCUAAUACAUGCAAGUCGAGCGAACGGACGAGAAGCUUGCUUCUCUGAUGUUAGCGGCGGACGGGUGAGUAACACGUGGAUAACCUACCUAUAAGACUGGGAUAACUUCGGGAAACCGGAGCUAAUACCGGAUGAUAUUUUGAACCGCAUGGUUCAAAAGUGAAUGACGGUCUUGCUGUUACUUAUAGAUGGAUCCGCGCUGCAUUAGCUAGUUGGUAAGGUAACGGCCUACCAAGGCAACGAUGCAUAGCCGACCUGAGAGGGUGAUCAGCCACACUGGAACUGAGACACGGCCCAGACUCCUACGGGAGGCAGCAGUAGGGAAUCUUCCGCAAUGGGCGAAAGCCUGACGGAGCAACGCCGCGUGAGUGAUGAAGGCCUUCGGAUCGUAAAACGCUGUUAGUAGGAACGAACAGAUGUGUAAGUAACUGUGCACAUCUUGACGGUACCUAAUCAGAAAGCAACGGCUAACUACGUG